This is a long non-coding RNA of Lepidothrix coronata (blue-crowned manakin), 828 nucleotides long. RefSeq lists it as uncharacterized. The transcript has 3 exons. Lineage: Eukaryota; Metazoa; Chordata; Aves; Passeriformes; Pipridae. The record is from RefSeq and is a predicted model, not a curated record.
GCGUCUGAUCCGUGCGCUCAGCCUGAGCAGCCAGACCUUAUAAAAGCAAUGAGUAAAGAACUCGCUUAAAUGCCGAUGCAGCAUUUUCAGGAAAUGGCUUAGGUCUGGAAAAUGGUGGCAAGCGAUGGUGUCACUCUGUCUCCAGUUCAACUGUGGAAAAGAGGCAUUUCCCUCACAUUCCUGGUCUUGAUCUCAAGUUGUGUUUGCUGCUGAGGAGGACAGGUCCUUCUAGCUCAAUGUGCUAGGCCCUUGCUUCUCUUUUCCUUUCCAUCCGAGAAAGACAAAAAUCCAGCUAAGGCAAAAGUAUGGGACAGAUAACCAGACUGCACCAGUAUAUCUUCACAUGAAGAAAGAAGAAAUGAAACUUCCCAGAAGUUAAUGCUUGUGAACUUCUAAGAAACGAGAACAUUAAAGCUGUUAUAUACUAUCAUAGAACACUGGAUAGAUACCAAACAAAAAUUGUCCCAACAAGUUUACAUUUGCAGCAUGGAAAAAGAAGGAAGCUGCAUAAUUCAUAUUCUACAGUUUACAGAAAACGUAAAAUGUUUUGACUCCAAAUCAAAUAUUUUGGCUUUUUGCCAUUUAUCAAGUAUUCUGCUCAUAUCACUUAAGACAAUUUAAUGACAACAAGAAUGCUUACAGAAAGAGGCAAUGUUGGCUUUCAUUCACUGGGAAAUUAACUUUGCUGGUGAAAAAUUACUAAAGCGUCUACAAAAGAUUUACAUGAAUAAAAAUAUGGUAUUAUACUGAUGCAAGUAUAGUUUUGAAUAUCCAUUUAAAAUCAAUAUGUUAUGUUGCAAAAUAAAUGUUAAUGUACCUUGAAAAGUA